This is a long non-coding RNA of Lathyrus oleraceus (garden pea), 866 nucleotides long. RefSeq lists it as uncharacterized. The transcript is spliced from 2 exons. The record is from RefSeq and is a predicted model, not a curated record. NCBI's taxonomy places the organism in Eukaryota, Viridiplantae, Streptophyta, Magnoliopsida, Fabales, Fabaceae.
AGGAACAAUUUAUUUCUUAGAAGAGGAAAAUAUAUUUGCCAGCCUAUAACUAUAAGUUGCAAUCUUGUCAUGGCUCUUAACUAUUGGUAUAUAUAUGGAACCUCAACCUUGAAGAGACAAGGAAAAGAGCCCAAGAGUUAAAGAAACCGAAGUGCUUGUGGAAGAAAGGCUUAUGAUAUUAUUAUAUCUAUAGAUUGUGCACCUUCAGCAGUUGAAGCUGCCAGCAUGAUCUGAGCUUGGCUUCUAAUGCUAAGAAUAGAUCAUAUGACAGCUUCACCUCUUGACUGGAAGCAUAUAUACACAAACCCUAAUUUUAGUUUUCAGAUUUUCAAGCUUCUUUAUAUCAUAGAACCCUAGAAAAAAGUUUCUUCAAUUCUUUCUAAUAUAUCAAUACUGUUUCAUUAUAUCAAUAUUGUUUCUCUUCCAAUAUGAAUUCUUGCAGAGAUUGAGAAAGAGAAGGAUGGUGUGGAAUCUGAAAUCAAGUGAUACUGUUUCAUUGUUAUGAAAUCUGAAUUGAAGGGUCACUAAUGCACCACGUGAAUGUGUGAGUGAGUGCAUGAUUUGGAAGAGAAUGAAAAAUGGAAGUAGAUGAAGAAUUAAUGAGAAAUGAAGGCAGCAAUUUGAAUAUAAACUGAGAGUUAGCCCGUAGCAGCAGUUGACAGAGCAGAAUAUCAACACUUGGCAAACUAGCUACUAGCUAGCUGCGGCCCCUUCCACAACAAUGUCAUUCUUCUUUUAGCUGUGUUACCAUCCUAGGAUAUUUGAUCAAUGCAAUUCAUUACACUACUUGUCUUUCGGAUACUGUGUACAAUACUCUUUUCAUUUUUCUUCCCAAAUUUACCAUAUAAUACUUUAUUUUAUUCUUA